UGUCGUUUAUUUCUUUAAAACGCCUCCGUGUAGACGAAUUGUUGCACAACAUACGAAGCGUACCAGCCAGUACGAGUAUCCAAUCUAAGUAAGUUUUAUAGCAUUUUGCGCUGCGCUUUUACGCUUUGAGACUUCAGUUCAUGUCGACUGACUUUCAGUUUGUACGGUUCGGAAGCAUUCUGUUCCAGCCGCGAAUGCAACGAUUUAACGAACAUAUUCUAAACGGAUGGCAACCGGAAUUAGUUGACGAAUAUCGACGUGAUUAUGCAUAGAAUAGAAUUACCGAAAGCAUAAGCGGAACUUUUUCCGGGCGCUCAACACUUGGUGUCGUGAUUGCUUCGCUGGGACGGUGGACUCGGGCAAAUUAACAAAAAUCACGUACUUUUACAUAUUUCGUAUUUAUUAUAACGUUUAUGAAUAAAAAUAUUACUUGUAUGUUGUAAAGGAUUCGUGUAAAAUCCAGGCUAUAAGCAAGCUUUUUAGUUUUGUGGGAACACCGCGUAUAUUCAUUUGGCUAAGCUUUCGACAAAUAUACGCGGGACUACUGUAUGAAACUUCAUAUUCACUCAAUUUCACAAUUUGAAAAACAUAAUCUUAUUUACGUUGCUAUUACAGACAAAAUCAAAUUCAUUUCUUACAAAAUGUGAAGCAGGAUCAUUCUGUGGCCAGCAGAAUGAUCCUGCAACAACGCUAUUCGUGACCAAGUCCCGAAACAUUUUCCAAAGGAACAUUUGCCUGCCGAAUGCAACGAUUUAUCGAAUAUCUUGUGAACGGACGGCAACCGAAAUUAAUACGAAUAUCGACAUGGUUAUGCGGGACAGAAUAUAAGUACCGAAAGUAAGCCGCACUUUUUCCGGAGGUCGACACUUGCGUGAUUGCUUCGCUGGACCCGAAGACUCUGGCAAAUUGUCUUCGCGCUGGUGGUAGCGUCCACCACAACUGAAUUAACAUAAUAUCACGUAUUAUAUAUUUUCAUAUAUUACUACAUUAUAUCUAUGAAUAUACAUUAUAACUAAUAUAUGGUACCUUUAUUCGUGUAAAAUCCAAUCUAAGUACGUUUUAUAGCAUUUAUACUGUCCUAUUUUACCGACACGACUCUUCACUGAGCUGUUUUUGCUUUUGUUUUUUUUAGUUAAUGUUAAGUGCAUUGACUUUCUGCAUGACUGGCAUUUCAGAAUAUUUCUACGACUGUGGUCAGUAAAAUGCAAUAUGAUUUGAGGAAUAUCUUGUGAAUCAUGGAUAUAGCAACCAAAACUCAUGUGAAUAUCUACUAAUUCAAUGAUCUUCAAAAACUCAAGAAUUCAUGAGGAAUAUAGCAAGAGAAAAUCACAAGCGUGUCGCAUCUUUAUAUGUUAUAGAGAUCUCCCUUGAUUUACAUAAACUUUAACUUUCUCGACUUACACAACUGUUGAAGCAAUUUAAAUCAUUCCGCAGUGCGCGUUUUACCAGGCCUGAAGAUAUUCGGCUUCGCCUUGUAUCUUUAUAUCUGAUAAAACACUGGUGCUCGUGUUUUAAAUAGCACCAGAAAGAUGAGAUGCAGUAUAAUAACAUGCAAUGAUAUGUUAUUUAUAAAUAGAAUGUAGACGUUAAUAUGUAUGGGUAUAUUUAGAAAAGUCAAAUUGAAUGCAAUAAGUGAGGCACAUCAUUUGAAAUGGACUCUGAAGAGUAAAGUAAACAAUUUUCUAGAGAAAACAUUCGUGCCUUACGACUUAAGGCAACACUCAGCCAUGAUAAUGCAACAGAAUUCCGUGUACAUAAAAGAAAACGGAUAUUUACACACACAUAAAUAUAAAAUCUUGCUGCUGAAAUGCAGACAAACACACAUGAUCAUACAAAUAUACACCACAACUUUUUUAUUUAUUUUUAAAUUUUUAUAUAUUUUUUUGUACUUUUUAAUUUUUAAAUUACAUCUAUGAUGCUGCUAAUUGCAGACAAACACACAAUUUUUUUUUAUAUUUUAAAUUUUUAUAUAUAUAUUUUGUACUUUUUAAUUUAGUUUUAAAUUACAUCUAUGACGCUGCUAAAUGCAGACAAACACACAACUUUUUUUUUUGUUUUUAAAUUUUUAUAUAUUUUUUUGUACUUUUUAUUUUUUUAAAUUACAUCUAUGAUGCUGCUAAAUGCAACGAACACACAAACACAUAUGCUUACUUUUUUAAAAUUAUAUUUAUACGUUCAUAUUAUAUAGACACAAACACAAGGAAUCCUUGGGAAAUCAUGGCCUACUGGCGGAGAUUAUGCAAAUCAACAUUGUUAAUAGUCCAUUUCGCUUGCGCGCUUCACAUAUUGCGAUCCAAAAAUUGAAGACAUUUUCGACGUGAACUAUAAGGAAACAGAUAUGUACGAGACAGGCGAGACAUCGCGAUUGCAUUGUGAGCGAAGGAUGAGGCGAAUAUGGCACAAGUUCUUUGUCAGCUUAAAGACCUGAAAUUGAGUUGAGUGAAAAAUGCUUAAUUCAAGUGCUUUAUGAAACAAUGUUAAAAUGGAAUUUCUGAAUUUGAAUUUCAAACAUUUCUUCAGACCUAAUUAGGAGCAACCGCGAAAGAUGCAGACCAUUUGACAGGAAUCGAACUCAUGGUCCUGAGAUUCCAGUGCAGCGCUCUUAAUCAAAUAAGUUCGGUUGUUUUAUAUCCGGAUAUAUAAGAAUUUUUACAGCCAGUAACCGCAUGUAGCGGUAUUCAACGUCAACUGAUAAAUCUUGGCGGACCAUCGACCUCAUCGCAACAGCCCGUUGCGCCACAACACUUUCCGGUAACUUCCACGAGAAUUGUUGUCGUCGACGCCCAAUUCUUUGGGCCACAAUGUUCGUAUGAGAACAUUGGAGAGCAGACGGUAUUUAUUAAAACAUGGCUUAAAUUUACGUAUAAUAUUCAUUGUAAUAUUUGCAUUUAUCAUCAAUCAUUGAUAAAGAAAACAAGAAAAUCAUGAGCGUGAAGUGGUUUGUAUUUCUGAUACGGAAUCAUGAUACCAAAUCGUACUGGUAAUACAAAUAUUCACUAAUAGAAAAAUACACGAAAGAGCAAAUAGAAUCCAUUUGCAACAUUCGCGGCCGUGUUGUAUCAGAUAUACUAAUUCUCGCCUUCGGCUCAAAGUUCGUAUAUCUCAUACAACACGCCCGGGAAUGUUGUGAAUGGUAGGAGGUAAUAGAAAAAUACACGAAAGAGCAAAUAGAAUCAUUUGCAACAUUCGCGGCCGUGUUGUAUCAGAUAUACUAAUUCUCGCCUUCGGCUCGAAGUUCGUAUAUCUCAUACCACACGCUCGCGAAUGUUGUAAAUGGUACGAGAUAAUAGAAAAAUACACGAAAGAGCAAAUAGAAUCAUUUGCAACAUUCGCGGCCGUGUUGUAUAAGGUAUACUAAUUCUCGCCUUCCGCUCGAAGUUCGUAAUCUGAUACAACACGCUCGCGAAUGUUGGAAAUGGUACGAUAUAAUAGAAAAAUACACGAAAAAACAAAUAGAAUCCAUUUGCAACAUUCGCGGCCGUGUUGUAUAAGGUAUACUAAUUCUCGCCUUCGGCUCGAAGUUCGUAUAUCUGAUACAACACGCUCGCGAAUGUUGGAAAUGGUACAACAAUAGAGCAAAUAGAAAACUAAUUUUAUUUCUAGUAUUUCCAAACUAGUGCGCAUUUUAACGACAGAUCUUUUUUUAUAACUGUAUACUUCAGAGCCG
This 3667-nucleotide long non-coding RNA is filed under the name Paramuricea clavata. Lineage: Eukaryota; Metazoa; Cnidaria; Anthozoa; Malacalcyonacea; Plexauridae. The record is from RNAcentral.